CCUGUAGCACUUAAACCUGCCAUAUCCAACCCCAACAUUCUAUUUGUUUAAUUUUCAAACUAACCAGAUCCAGCCUCUCACACCUACCUUGCAAUUUCAUUUUAAAAAUAACCAAUCACAUCAUAGAAAUCUCAAAGCUGCAAAAUAAUCCAAGAUUAAUUCAAAUCAGUGUGAAUUAAUAAGCAUCACAUUCUACAAUA
Octopus sinensis (East Asian common octopus) is the source of this 200-nucleotide long non-coding RNA. RefSeq lists it as uncharacterized. The record is from RefSeq and is a predicted model, not a curated record. Lineage: Eukaryota; Metazoa; Mollusca; Cephalopoda; Octopoda; Octopodidae. The transcript is spliced from 3 exons.